GAGGAAUAUUGGUCAAUGGGCGAGAGCCUGAACCAGCCAAAUCGCGUGAAGGAUGAAGGUAUUAUGUAUUGUAAACUUCUCUUAUCGGGGAAUAAAGUGCACCACGUGUGGUGUUUUGUAUGUACCCGAAGAAUAAGGAUCGGCUAACUCCGUGCCAGCAGCCGCGGUAAUACGGAGGAUCCAAGCGUUUUCCGGAUUUAUUGGGUUUAAAGGGUGCGUAGGCGGACUGUCAAGUCAGCGGUGAAAGUCCAUGGCUCAACCAUGGAAUUGCCGUUGAAACUGUCGGUCUUGAGUGUAGAUGAGGUAGGCGGAAUUCGUAGUGUAGCGGUGAAAUGCUUAGAUAUUACGAAGAACUCCAAUUGCGUAGGCAGCUUACCAGGCUACAACUGACGCUGAGGCACGAAGGUGCGGGGAUCAAAC
Molecule: ribosomal RNA, 420 nt
Filed under: uncultured bacterium
Lineage: Bacteria
Description: bacterial SSU rRNA
Rfam family: Bacterial small subunit ribosomal RNA
Source: RNAcentral